ACUAAAGCUAGCCCAACCAAACUAUAUUACAACUAACCCUAGAAUAUAAAACAAAACAUUUAUUAACCUAAUAAAAGUAUAGGCGAUAGAAAUUAUAUUAUGGCGCUAUAGAGACAGUACCGUAAGGGAAUGAGUGAAAGACCUAAUUAAAAGUACCAAAAAGCAAAGUUUAUCACUUCUACCUUUUGCAUAAUGAGUUAACUAGAAAUUCUUAGCAAAGAGAUCUUAAGUUAAAAACCCCGAAACCAGACGAGCUACCCAAAAGCAGCAUAUCAGAGCGAACUCGUCUAUGUAGCAAAAUAGUGAGAAGACUUCUGGGUAGAGGUGAAAAGCCUAACGAGCCUGGUGAUAGCUGGUUGUCCAGAAAAGAAUAUAAGUUCAACUUUAAUUUCUACAAAAAAAAAUUAAAAUUUUAAUGUAAAAUUAAAGGCUAGUCUAAAGAGGUACAGCCCUUUAGACACAGGAUACAACCUUCAUUGGUGAGUAAGAAUAUUAUAAAACCAUAGUAGGCCCAAAAGCAGCCAUCAAUUAAGAAAGCGUUCAAGCUCAACAAAAACACAAGUAAUAAUAUCAAACAUUUUUAACUAGCUCCCAACUUUUAACUGGACUAAUCUAUUUAAUAAUAGAAGAAAUACUGUUAAUAUGAGUAACAAGAAAAAUUUUCUCCUAGCACAAGUUUAUAUCAGAACGGAUGCCCACUGAUAGUUAACAACAAGAUAAACAUAACUAAAAAUAAAAACCUUAUCAAAAAAAACUGUUAACCCAACACAGGUGUGCUAUAAUUUAAAGGAAAGAUUAAAAGAAGUAAAAGGAACUCGGCAAACACAAACCCCGCCUGUUUACCAAAAACAUCACCUCUAGCAUUUAUAGUAUUAGAGGCACUGCCUGCCCAGUGACAUUAGUUAAACGGCCGCGGUAUCCUGACCGUGCAAAGGUAGCAUAAUCAUUUGUUCUCUAAUUAAGGACUUGUAUGAAUGGCCACACGAGGGUUUUACUGUCUCUUACUUCCAAUCAGUGAAAUUGACCUUCCCGUGAAGAGGCGGGAAUAAAAAAAUAAGACGAGAAGACCCUAUGGAGCUUUAAUUAACUAGCUUAAGUAAACAGCACAUUAACCCGCUUAAGGGAUAAAAACCUUACCUAGUAAGCUAGCAAUUUCGGUUGGGGUGACCUCGGAGCAUAAAACAACCUCCGAGUGAUUUUAGAUGAGACCUACAAGUCGAAUCCUAAGUCAUAAUUGAUCCAAUAAUAAUAAUUGAUCAACGGAACAAGUUACCCUAGGGAUAACAGCGCAAUCCUAUUUGAGAGUCCUUAUCGACAAUAGGGUUUACGACCUCGAUGUUGGAUCAGGACAUCCCAAUGGUGCAGCCGCUAUUAAUGGUUCGUUUGUUCAACGAUUAAAGUCCUACGUGAUCUGAGUUCAGACCGGAGUAAUCCAGGUCGGUUUCUAUCUAUUAUAUAUAUAUUUCUCCCAGUACGAAAGGACAAGAGAAAUAGGGCCUAUUCCACAGGAAAGCCCUAUCAGUCGAACAGAUGAUAUCAUCUAAAUCUAAUAGACUAUAUAAUUUUAACUGCCUUAGAAAAAGGCUCC
RNAcentral lists this ribosomal RNA (1588 nucleotides) under Uropsilus soricipes. RNAcentral's name for it is "large subunit ribosomal RNA". It matches the Rfam family "Bacterial large subunit ribosomal RNA". The record is from RNAcentral. Lineage: Eukaryota; Metazoa; Chordata; Mammalia; Eulipotyphla; Talpidae.